CCUACGGGUGGCAGCAGUGGGGAAUAUUGGGCAAUGGGCGCAAGCCUGACCCAGCAACGCCGCGUGAAGGAAGAAGGCUUUCGGGUUGUAAACUUCUUUUAAGAGGGAAGAGCAGAAGACGGUACCUCUUGAAUAAGCCACGGCCAACUACGUGCCAGUAGCCUCGGUAAUAGGUAGGUGGCAAGCGUUUUCCGGAUUUACUGGGUGUAAAGGGCGUGGAGCCGGGCUGACAAGUCAGAUGUGAAAUCCCGUGGCUCAACCACGGAACUGCUUUUGAAACUGUCGGUCUGGAGUAUCGGAGAGGUAGGCGGAAUUCCUAGUGUAGCGGUGAAAUGCGUAGAUAUUAGGAGGAACACCAGUGGCGAAGGCGGCCUGCUGGACGACAACUGACGGUGAGGCGCGAAAGCGUGGGGAGCAAACAGGAUUAGAUACCCGGGUAGUC
This 442-nucleotide ribosomal RNA is filed under the name uncultured bacterium. RNAcentral describes it as "partial 16S ribosomal RNA". It matches the Rfam family "Bacterial small subunit ribosomal RNA", at positions 338 to 795 of the family's 1533-position model. The record is from RNAcentral.